UUGAACACUUUUUGUGCAAAUGCAUGACGAAACUAGUGCAAAGUUCGCUCAAGCAUAAAAAAAAUUGCUCUACUUGCGCUUGGUCAGUUUACUUACUACAAGUAAUGAGUACUAUGUAGUCCGGCUAAUUUCCCAGUCAUGGGAGA
This 146-nucleotide small RNA is filed under the name Pseudomonas knackmussii B13. RNAcentral's name for it is "Pseudomonas sRNA P14". It matches the Rfam family "Pseudomonas sRNA P14". The record is from Rfam by way of RNAcentral. Lineage: Bacteria; Pseudomonadati; Pseudomonadota; Gammaproteobacteria; Pseudomonadales; Pseudomonadaceae.